Molecule: small RNA, 4400 nt
Filed under: Rattus norvegicus (Norway rat)
Lineage: Eukaryota; Metazoa; Chordata; Mammalia; Rodentia; Muridae
Description: uncharacterized LOC102549608
Source: RNAcentral
UUACAGACAGCAGACACACUUUGUGGCUUUUCUGCACUCUGUAAUGACGGUGGGAUCCAAAGAUCAAGGCUCUUAUCAGACAAAAGCACUCGGGCUCCUUACUGGCAGCUUCUAAGUACAGAGGAAACUAGGGUGGACUACCCAUGCUUCCAUAGAGAAUUUUCAGCUUUCCGGCUGCACGUUCUGUGGGAAGGACCAUUCUCCCAGUUACUCAAGUCAAACUGAACUUCCAUUUCUUGUUCCGGCCAAUCAAGAGUACCAGUCGCCAGAAAUUAAAAAUAGCAUGUUGCUGCAGGACAAGGUGGUAAAUGACACAGAACUUUGGGAAAGUCUGGCUGGCUCCAGCCAAGCCUCACCCUCUGCCACUCCCUGUCAGGGAGGAAGCGUGAGGCUCCUGGGAGUAUGGCCAGGAAAAGGUUGUGGCCAGGCAAGGGCGCGGAAAGGAUUUUUCCUUUGAGUCAGGGAUGACAGCUGUCCUCGUGAGGGGAGGAGUGGAAAACUGGAUCUACUGAGCAGUGUCUGCUAAGUCCAAAGAGGCCUUCAGAAGCAAUAGAACUGCCAGCUACAGUAGUUCGUGGGACAUCAAAGCCGCGAUUAGCACAGCUUCCUGGCUGUCGCACUCCGCGUAUUUAUGGCGCGUUGCACAUUUAAGUGCUAUUCUCAUAAGACGUUUCAGCUGUCAAAGCGCCAUAUUUGGGCGAUAAAAGUGACUGAAAUUACCAGGGGGUCCUGCGUUCCCAAUCCCAGCAUUGUGCCAAAGCCAACGACAACCAAAAACCACCGAAUUUAUUUCACCAUUUGCGGAACACCUGUGAGCAGCCUGGUGGACAUGCAGUACACAUGGGGUCCAGAGAGAGGGGGCUGCAGCAGGUAAGCCUGUACAUGUGAGUUUAUGCCAGUAUCAAGGAGGGGGUCUCUGAAGAAACAAAAAGCACUAUUUCCGUUCUUCGUUUUAAGGUAGGGGUGUGUGAUCUGAUGGCAAAUUGAGACAGGACACUAACUCCCUCUCUUCUGACACCCAGACAAGAUGGAUGCCCUCCAACCUGACUUCUGGUUUUGUUCCUUCUCCUUCAAAAUGGCGCAUCGUGUCUGUGUCCUGUGGAAAAUAUGGUAGGUUUGGCCAGGGAGAGCAAUGGCCAGGACAUACAAAGAGAAGGAGCCUGUGACCACAAUGUGUUCCCUGAGCUGAAGGACCCUGAGAGACCACAUCUGGUCCCUGUGAGCAUAGGCUUCCCACAGCUCCUUUCAGGAGCUGGGCUUGAGCCUGAAUCUCCUCUCAUACGGCCACUUGCAGCUUCCCAAGAUAGCUGGGGUCAAGAUUUAGUCAGCCUUCUACAAAUAAAGCAUACCCUGACCCAACCAUAGACGCCUCUGGUUUCAAACAGUUGCAUCAGCCGGCACUGAGCGAGAGAGAGAGAGCGUGCGAGAACGCAAGCUCGAACUGGCACUCAGUGAGAAGGGAGCUGCACGGCAGGAAAACCUUUUUCUAAUUUUCCAAACCCAUGUUAACUUAUCUUUGUCAAAAUUGUGAAGCACUAAUGUGCCCAAAUGAAAGGUCAGAGGUAUAGACUUGCGUCCUGUCUUCAUUUCCUGUAGGAACAGUCUAUGUGGAGUCAGGCAGGGAGUGUCCGAAGAGGCUCACAGCUUACCUGGGCCAGUCCCCAUGAAGAAGGCACAGAUGCAUGGGUAUUGGCUAUGGACCAUUCGAUGGUCCAGUAAAAACAGUGGAGCCAGGCUCUGAACCCAGCCUGAACCACGAGGACCCAUGCUUACACACUCCCCUUCCAGUACAAAAAAACCCAUUCCCUAACAAAGGUCCUUUAACAGGUCUAACAGAAAACCCCUCAUUCUUUGGUAAGAAAAAAACAACUAAAUAGGAAAAAAAAAUACUCCCAGGGCAACCAGUUUCUGGCCCCUUUCUCUGUGGUACCCUAAGCAGCAGAGAGCUACAACCUUCCUUUGCAAAAAUCUUAACUUGCUUUUCUUUAAAAAUAUAGACAAAUUCUCAGCAGCAUCUGCGUGCUGGGGACCUAACACCUGUACUCGACAUGAGGGCAGAGACGCUCGCUGCUUAGUUUGGUUCCCCUGGGGUGGUAUGACGUCUUCUGGAUAUUUGAGAACUGUGUGGCUACAACACACACAAAGAGAAACUUUAGUGAUGUUGGUGAACCUUUCUAACACAGAUGUUGAAAAUCAGCAAUCUGAAGGGCUUGGGAUUGGCCCCAAACCUAGCAUCGGACACAGUUGCUUUCAGACUCCUCACUAAAGCAGAUUGCCCGUGUAGUCCACGCUGCUACUGAGCACUCGGGGGAAACUAAGGCAGGCAAUCACUUAAAGCUGAACCCAACCUGCAUUACCGGAUGAGGUCCAGGCCAGUGUGGGCUCAUUGUUGUCUUUAAAAACAAAACAAACAGAAAGACAAGAUUUCCCAACCCAACCUCAAAGGCAAGCUAUCCCCCAAGGUUCCUAGCCAAAAAAAAAAAAAAAAAAAAAAAAAAAAAAAAUUUGCUUAGCAUUCAGAGAUGGGAGGAGGGGACACAUGCUGGGCUUUAGAAUCAGGGUGGAUCCAGUUGCCCACACAAGUGGUAUAGAAUCAGGCUUGUCAGGCAUCUCCUUAGGCAGAUGAUGAACUUAUAAAGCAAGUGGGAAGGUUUGGCAAGAAGAGGGAGAUGAUGUAAUUAUAUUAUAAUCUCAAAAAACUGUAAUAAAACUUUCUGGUUGGGGUCCCCUGGGCCACUAGGGGGAGCCAGGAGAAUGAUAUGGAAGGGUACUUGGGGGGUCACCAGAUCUGAGGAAGAGCUUAGGAAUCACUACCACAGUGACUUCUGAGAAGCUCACAUCCCUCUCUGAGGUGCUCUGGAAUCAUGUCGCUGUGUGCGGUACAGACAGAGGUGCUCACUGAGGAUGCUGGCCCUUCCCGAGUCCGAGACCCACAGCCUCAGUUCUGGGCAGCCAGAGGCACUCAUAGCUAAGCAUGAAGGACACGGAGGCCGCCAGGGCAGGGCUAUUCUCAGACUGUUGGAAUGGAGGUGACAGGUCACAUCAUGGUGGUGUUCAGAGCAAUGAGGGACUUGGCGCUUGAGAACAUAGCCGUAACUAGACUGUCUCUGAAAUUUAGGACUCCUCAGAGAGGUGCAGCAGCAAACCCUGAAUGGGGAGGGGCUGUUGGACACAGUCAUUCGAAUAGAACAUUUCACGUCUCCAGGGCAUCAAGCAGCACAGCCUGGAGUUACCACAUCCACAUUACCCAAGAGAAAGGUCACAGACUCCGCCCAUCUAGCGUCUGCCCUCACUCAUUUUUUUUUCCUCUUGAAGGAAAGUGCUGACACCAUUUCCCAAGCCUUAAUUAUACAUAAAAGCUCUCUCUUUAGUCAGAGAAAAGCUGGAUGUAAACUCAAACCCAUAUUGACAUUAUUGACCCACCACUGCCCCACACGAGCCUUGCAUCUGCCUGCCAGUAUGACAGAAACUGGUGGACAAAGGACACAAAUGUCCCAUGUCCUUGACAGACGUACAGCUUUCAUUUCCACAUCGGGAGAAUUCUGUCCUAGCAGAUCUGCGGGGAGGAAGAGAAACAGGCUCCUGAUAAGAGCUUGGCGUGCAACUCCCCGGCAUCUUUCAAGUGACAAGCAAGAGCUUCUGUGGCUCACCACUCUCUGCCUAGACAAAUUCUAAAUAUGGAUCUGCACAUAUGUACAGAUUAGACUGAGCACACAGGAGCAAAACAAGCUGGCCAUCCGUCCCUCCUGUCCCCUCCCUCCGUAGGAAUCUGGCUGGGGAUGGAGGUUUGAGUUCCGUACGGACAUUCUUAGAACCCAGCUGAGCAGAGCACAGGAAAUCAACAUGCCUGCAUCGGAACUGUGUUCUGCUCCAUUACCCCACUUGUCAACCAAGGGUUAUGUUCUUGUUGCCCCAGGUCCUAUAUUCAAAAGGGGGCCCACAUAUUCCACCAUAGCAUCCCCAGUGCAUUAGCACUUAAUGGCCAUGAAUCAUGGAGCAACACUCUGUGUGUUUAACCAAGGUUAUGGGGGUGGGGGUGUUGUUGUUUGUUUGUUUGUUUGUUUGUUCAGCACAGUGCUAUUUUGGUCUUGAGCAUACUUUUGGCCUUUGUGGUUUUAUGGAAAUUCAGUGUCCUUCAAGGGAGGGGAAAGAGUGAUGUGCACCCAGAAGAAAUCUGGUUUCUCAGCUCAGGCCCUUGGCUGCUUUGGAGAAACUGGGAGACAAUAUUCUGAGCUGCUCAGCAGCUGUUUCUGGCUUCUCUAUGGUUUACCUGUCCUUCAGUUUCUGGUGACAUUGCCAUCUUAGUCCCAUUUAGAGGUCUGCUAUCCUCUGUGGGCUUCAAUCUCAAAAUAUUCUGCGAUGGAGUGCCUCCAACACUGCCCAGGAAACCCAGCUGAAAA